AUUGAACGCUGGCGGCAGGCCUAACACAUGCAAGUCGAACGAGUGGCGGACGGGUGAGUAAUGUCGGGGAAAUUGCCUGAUGGAGGGGGUUAACUACUGGAAACGGUAGCAAAUACCGCAUACCAUCGGAUGUGCCCAGCUGGGAUUAGCUAGGAGGGGGGGUAAGGGCUCACCUAGGCGACGAUCCCUAGCUGGUCUGAGAGGAUGACCGGCCACCCUGGAACUGAGACACGGUCCAGACUCCUACGGGAGGCAGCAGUGGGGAAUAUUGCACAAUGGGCGCAAGCCUGAUGCAGCCAGGCCGCGUGUAGUAAGAAGGCCUUCGGGUUGUAAAGUACUUUCAGCGGUGAGGCGGUACCCGCAGAAGAAGCACCGGCUAACUCCGUGCCAGCAGCCGCGGUAAUUC
RNAcentral lists this ribosomal RNA (406 nucleotides) under uncultured bacterium. RNAcentral's name for it is "partial 16S ribosomal RNA". It matches the Rfam family "Bacterial small subunit ribosomal RNA", at positions 29 to 526 of the family's 1533-position model. The record is from RNAcentral.